Pseudophryne corroboree (corroboree frog) is the source of this 556-nucleotide long non-coding RNA. RefSeq lists it as uncharacterized. The transcript has 3 exons. The record is from RefSeq and is a predicted model, not a curated record. Lineage: Eukaryota; Metazoa; Chordata; Amphibia; Anura; Myobatrachidae.
UACUGCACUCUGAUGGACAGCUCGUCGUUUUUCCGGGCCUACCGUGCAGCGCUCUCUGCUCUCUGAAGUUGAGCCGCCGUGUAUACCAUACUUGGGUCUAAUCUUACAAGACCUUACGUUUGUGCACCUGGGAAAUCCAGACCACAUUGAUGGGAAAGUGAACUUCUCUAAACGGUGGCAACAGUUCAAUAUCCUGGACAGCAUGAGACGUUUCCAGCAAGCUCAUUAUGAAAUUCGCCGGAAUGACGACAUCAUCUCUUUCUUCAAUGACUUCAGUGAUCACCUGGCCGAGGAGGCGUUAUGGGAACUAUCCUUGAAAAUCAAACCUCGGAAUAUCACCCGGAGGAAAACAGAAAGAGAUGAGAAAACAUAAGUUGGGGGAAUGACUGCCAAGUGGACAUUGAAGAAGAGAUCUCCCUGACUGAGGGGGGGAUUCAAGGGGUAGAUGGAGAUAUUCAUCGUGUUUACUAGUUGUCGCUGCCCCCUCCCAAAGAGUUGGGUUACCCCGCCGACUGUCGUCUUGUGUCUUACGUUGUUAUUUUCUCUGACGUCCUAG